GUAUACUUGGUGUAGCCGGACUCAACCCUGGCUGUGCCGGAGCUAACGCGUUAAGUAUACCGCCUGGGGAGUACAGUCGCAAGGCUGAAACUCAAAAGAAUUGACGGGGACCCGCACAAGCAGUGGAGCAUGUGGUUUAAUUCGAUGCUACGCGAAGAACCUUACCCAGGCUUGACAUGCAGCGGACCGGUCCAGAAAUGGGCCUUUCCUUCGGGACUGCUGCACAGGUGCUGCAUGGCUGUCGUCAGCUCGUGCCGUGAGGUGUUGGGUUAAGUCCCGCAACGAGCGCAACCCUUAUCAUUAGUUGCCAACAUUUAAGGUGGGAACUCUAAUGAGACUGCCCGGGUUAACCGGGAGGAAGGUGAGGAUGACGUCAAGUCCGCAUGGCCCUUAUGCCUGGGGCUACGACACGUGCUACAAUGGUCGGUACAGAAGGCAGCAAGACCGUAAGGUGGAGCAAAUCCCGAAAGCCGGCCUCAGUUCAGAUUGUAGUCUGCAACUCGACUACAUGAAGACGGUAA
Molecule: ribosomal RNA, 521 nt
Filed under: uncultured bacterium
Lineage: Bacteria
Description: bacterial SSU rRNA
Rfam family: Bacterial small subunit ribosomal RNA
Source: RNAcentral